AGCGGAGGAAAAGAAACCAACUGGGAUUACCUUAGUAACGGCGAGUGAAGCGGUAAAAGCUCAAAUUUGAAAUCUCGGUACUCUUCACGUGCCCGAGUUGUAAUUUGUAGAAUUUGUCUUUGAUUAGGUCCUUGUCUAUGUUCCUUGGAACAGGACGUCAUAGAGGGUGAGAAUCCCGUUUGGCGAGGAUACCUUUUCUCUGUAAGACUUUUUCGAAGAGUCGAGUUGUUUGGGAAUGCAGCUCAAAGUGGGUGGUAAAUUCCAUCUAAAGCUAAAUAUUGGCGAGAGACCGAUAGCGAACAAGUACAGUGAUGGAAAGAUGAAAAGAACUUUGAAAAGAGAGUGAAAAAGUACGUGAAAUUGUUGAAAGGGAAGGGCAUUUGAUCAGACAUGGUGUUUUUUGCAUGCACUCGCCUCUCGUGGGCUUGGGCCUCUCAAAAAUUUCACUGGGCCAACAUCAAUUCUGGCAGCAGGAUAAAUCAUUAAGAAUGUAGCUACUUCGGUAGUGUUAUAGCUUUUUGGAAUACUGUUAGCCGGGAUUGAGGACUGCGCUUCGGCAAGGAUGUUGGCAUAAUGGUUAAAUGCCGCCCGUCUUGAAACACGGACCUACAA
Molecule: ribosomal RNA, 612 nt
Filed under: Hanseniaspora uvarum
Lineage: Eukaryota; Fungi; Ascomycota; Saccharomycetes; Saccharomycodales; Saccharomycodaceae
Description: eukaryotic LSU rRNA
Rfam family: Eukaryotic large subunit ribosomal RNA
Source: RNAcentral